AGUGAACGCUGGCGGUAGGCCUAACACAUGCAAGUCGAACGGCAGCACAGUAAGAGCUUGCUCUUACGGGUGGCGAGUGGCGGGCGGGUGAGGAAUACAUCGGAAUCUACUUUUUCGUGGGGGAUAACGUAGGGAAACUUACGCUAAUACCGCAUACGACCUACGGGUGAAAGCAGUGGAUCUUCGGACCUUGCGCGAUUGAAUGAGCCGAUGUCGGAUUAGCUAGUUGGCGGGGUAAAGGCCUACCAAGGCGACGAUCCGUAGCUGGUCUGAGAGGAUGGUCAGCCACACUGGAACUGAGACACGGUCCAGACUCCUACGAGAGGCAGCAGUGGGGAAUGUUGGACAAAGGGCGCAAGCCUGAUCCAGCCAUACCGCGUGGGUGAAGAAGGCCUUCGGGUUGUAAAGCCCUUUUGUUGGGAAAGAAAAGCAGCAGGUUAAUACGCCGCUGUUCUGACGGUACCCGAAGAAUAAGCACCGGCUAACUUCGUG
RNAcentral lists this ribosomal RNA (492 nucleotides) under uncultured bacterium. Its description in RNAcentral is "partial 16S ribosomal RNA". It matches the Rfam family "Bacterial small subunit ribosomal RNA", at positions 29 to 507 of the family's 1533-position model. The record is from RNAcentral.